UCCCAGUUCGGAUUGCAGGCUGAAACCCGCCUGUAUGAAGUUGGAAUUGCUAGUAAUCGUAGAUCAGCAUGCUACGGUGAAUACGUUCCCGGGCCUUGUACACACCGCCCGUCACACCAUGGGAGCCGGUAAUACCCGAAGUCAGUAGUCCAACCUCGUGAGGACGCUGCCGAAGGUAGGAUUGGCGACUGGGGUGAAGUCGUAACAAGGUACC
RNAcentral lists this ribosomal RNA (214 nucleotides) under uncultured bacterium. Its description in RNAcentral is "partial 16S ribosomal RNA". It matches the Rfam family "Bacterial small subunit ribosomal RNA", at positions 1286 to 1500 of the family's 1533-position model. The record is from RNAcentral.